This 302-nucleotide long non-coding RNA is filed under the name Glycine max (soybean). RNAcentral's name for it is "long non-coding RNA (GMAX_LNC003702)". Lineage: Eukaryota; Viridiplantae; Streptophyta; Magnoliopsida; Fabales; Fabaceae. The record is from RNAcentral.
GAUCACUUGGACAAUUGAACGUACUAUCACAAAGAAUAUAACAGCCGAGUCAAGCUACUGCUCUUAAUUGAUAAUUGGUAAGUUUAGUCUUCUGUUAGAGAGCUUUUUGCAAUUCGCUAAGCCCAAUAACCUAUAUUUCUAUUGUGAUUUCAAUUGAAAUUGAAUGUUUGCUACAUUCCUCGGAUCAACGUACGGAUCACCUUGAUCAGUAAGAAGAAAAACAAUAAUUUAUUAAUUAGUUUGUUAUAUAUAGAAAUCUAUUUUUUUAGUUGAGAUUCUUGUAAUUGAAAACGAUUAUGCAA